This 253-nucleotide ribosomal RNA is filed under the name uncultured bacterium. RNAcentral's name for it is "partial 16S ribosomal RNA". It matches the Rfam family "Bacterial small subunit ribosomal RNA", at positions 524 to 776 of the family's 1533-position model. The record is from RNAcentral.
UACAGAGGUCUCGAGCGUUGUUCGGAUUCAUUGGGCGUAAAGGGUGCGUAGGUGGCGCUGUAAGUCGGGUGUGAAAUCCUGAGGCUUAACCUCGGAACUGCAUUCGAUACUGCGGCGCUUGAGGACUGGAGAGGAGACUGGAAUUCAUGGUGUAGCAGUGAAAUGCGUAGAUAUCGAGAGGAACACCUGCGGCGAAGGCGGGUUGCUGGGCUGACACUGACGCUGAUGCGCGAAAGCUAGGGGAGCGAACGGG